RNAcentral lists this transfer RNA (65 nucleotides) under Chaetodontoplus poliourus (greytail angelfish). RNAcentral describes it as "tRNA-Cys". Lineage: Eukaryota; Metazoa; Chordata; Actinopteri; Pomacanthidae. The record is from RNAcentral.
AGUCCUGGGGUGUUAACACGUCAGAUUGCAAAUCUGAAGAAGCAGACUAGCGUCUGCCGGGGCUU